Molecule: non-coding RNA, 22 nt
Filed under: Rattus norvegicus (Norway rat)
Lineage: Eukaryota; Metazoa; Chordata; Mammalia; Rodentia; Muridae
Source: RNAcentral
UGCCAAAGAACUUGCCCUGAGG